RNAcentral lists this ribosomal RNA (450 nucleotides) under uncultured bacterium. Its description in RNAcentral is "partial 16S ribosomal RNA". It matches the Rfam family "Bacterial small subunit ribosomal RNA", at positions 354 to 796 of the family's 1533-position model. The record is from RNAcentral.
GUCGAGAAUAAUUCACAAUGGACGAAAGUCUGAUGGUGCAACGCCGCGUGGAGGAUGACGGUCUUCGGAUUGUAAACUCCUGUCAUCCGGGAGUAAGACCUGGCUGUGAAUAGCAGACAGGGUUGAUAGUACCGGAAGAGGAAGGGACGGCUAACUUCGUGCCAGCAGCCGCGGUAAUACGAAGGUCCCGAGCGUUGUUCGGAAUCACUGGGCGUAAAGGGAGCGUAGGCGGCGUGGUAAGUCAGAUGUGAAAUCCCGGGGCUCAACCCCGGAACUGCAUCCGAUACUGCCGUGCUAGAGGAUUGGAGAGGUAGCUGGAAUUCUUGGUGUAGCAGUGAAAUGCGUGGAGAUCAAGAGGAACACUCGUGGCGAAAGCGAGCUACUGGACAAUAUCUGACGCUGAGGCUCGAAGGCCAGGGUAGCGAAAGGGAUUAGAAACCCUAGUAGUCC